Molecule: long non-coding RNA, 5253 nt
Organism: Centrocercus urophasianus (Greater sage-grouse)
Lineage: Eukaryota; Metazoa; Chordata; Aves; Galliformes; Phasianidae
Exons: 3
Source: RefSeq, a predicted model, not a curated record
UGGAAAUGAUGUUGAGCUGACGGCCACCAACCCAUGGAGAUGACGUUGUGCAUUGUGUUGAGUUGGGAACCACCGUCAGAUGGAAAUGAUGUUGUGUAGAGGACCACCAACCCAUGAAGAUGACGUUGUGUUGAGUUGGGAACUAACAUCAGAUGGAAUUUGUGUUGAACUGAGGACCGGUGACCCACGGAGGUGAUUUUAUGAUGAGCACCGCUGACCCACGGAGGUAACGCUGUGUUAAGUGCCACAGCACACUGAAGGUGACGUUGUCCUGAGGACCAGCGGCUCUGGAGGUGACACCGUGUCGCUGAGAACCACCAAACCAUAGAGAUGACAUUGAGCUGAGGACCACCAACCCACGGAGGUGAAACUGUUGAUUUGAAGAUCACCAAUCAAUGAAGAUGACACUGUGUUGAGUUGGGAACCAUCAUCAGAUGGAGACGACGUUGUGUAGAGGACCACCAACCCAGCGGAGGUGACACUGUGUUGAUCACCAACCCAUGAAGAUGACAUCAUGUUGAGUUGACAUUGCAAAUUGACAACCCAAAACAUGGUGUCCACCUCCCUUUGCCACCAUCUUCUGAAACAAAAGGAUCAUUUCACCCAACAAUUACAACAAUGCGGUCACACAACGCAUCCGUCCAUCCGUUACGUCGCACUUCAUGCAGUGCUACGGACAGAAAUGGGUGUCCCACCACCUGGAGAUGUGGCGUCACACCGAGAUAUGGCAGCUUUUGUCAUCAUUCUUAACACAUUGAUCACCAAAAUUAAAAGGAGAGGGAAAAAAAUCCUUGAGCUACGGCAGGCGUUCCCAACAACCAAAAAAAAAAGGAAACAGUGGGAGACGUUUCAACCAUUUGAAGGAAUUUUUACAAUUUGAGGAAGAACGAACGCGGGAGCUUCUUCCUGCCCAGAGGUAAAUGUGAAUUGUGAGAAUAAGAGGUUUCUCAAUUAACAGCUGUUACAAAGCCAACAGUCGUGGAAUUAGAAUACACCAAGUGCAGAGGAACCCACUGGGACCAUUGAGUCCAACACAUGGAACAUCCCAAGCUGGGAGGAACCCAUAAACAUCAUCAAGUCCAACCCAAGGAACAUCUGAAGUUGGAGGAAAACCAUGGGGACCAUUGAGGCCAACUCACCCCCAAGUUGGAGGGAACCCAUCAAGCCCAUCAAACUCCAACGACACGACUCCGUAUUUCUACCCCAGCAAAUAACUCUGAGAAAGAUGCCAAAGCACUUAAAGGAACCCCGAACUUCGUGUCACUCCUAUUGCAAGCUGCACGCAUCCAACACGCCCAUGGCAAUGAGUCAUCCUGCGACACGUCGCUCCUUGGAGGUGUGAGCAGUUUGGUGAGGAAGUCUGAAGAUCCUGAGAGUAAUCCAAUGCUGCUGGUCUGUAACCAAAGGGAAAAAAUAGUGCAUUUCACUACGGACAAACCGAGUCAGAAUCGAGCGAUGCCGCUGCCUUGAUACCGGAGGUGUAUGCUAUAAAAGAACCGGUAAAAAAAUCUUGUAAAUCACACACUCAUCUUUAAUAUCAUCGAAAGAAAAUAGUUAAGAAUGCGAGAACUGUUUACAGAUUAAAAAAAUAUCUUUGAAACCAUCUGAUCUUAAAAAUAGACAAUAGUAGUGAGGCUUAAAAUACAACCACUCGCAUCAAAAUGUUCCCAAAGCAGCACCUCGCGAACCCGGGGCCGUUAGGAUAACGCCUCGGUCGUUAGGAAGGUGGGGUGGGUUGGAGGAGUCACUUUGUCACAAUCCGAGUCCAACACAGCUUUGCCUUUGCUGGAGGAUGCUGAGCACUCCUGGUGGGAGCCCUCGGUGAGCUUGGAGGUGGAGCGCGCCAUCGAGCCGCCGUGGCUCCCGUUGGUUUGCGAGCAGACGUUGCUGACUUUGGCCGCUUUGUUCUUGUGGUGGUUGUUGUACACCUUGUACUUCAUCAGGAGGAUGAAGAUGAAGACGAGCACCGACGCCACGAUGAUGCCCCCGAUGAUGAUGAUCAUGGUGCCCCCGAGGAACUGAGCGUGGAGGGAACGGCACUGCUUGUACUCCUCCUGGGUGGUGAACUGCACGCAGCCGAUCACCCUGGUUGCAGUCAGAGAUGUCAGCCCGUCGUCGUACACGGCCAGGACGCAGAGGUCGUACUCACGUCCUGCAACCAGAUCAGUCAAGAAGAAGGAUUUACUAGCAGCUGGGAUCAUCCUGGAAGAGAGAAUACGUACAGUAAACAUCCAAGUGGGUCAAACCUUCGGAUUCCUCUUCAGUCUACUCGGCGGUAAGCGGCCCGCCGCGCGGGUUGGAGCUGGAUGGGCUUUAAGGUCCCCUCCAACCCGAUCUUCUGGGUUCUGUGACCUCAGAGGUCCCUCCCAACCCAACCAUUGUAGGAUCCCAAGGUUCUACGACCCUGAAGGUCUCUCCAACCCAACCACUGUAGGAUCCCAUGGUACCAUGACCUUUAGGAGCUUUUCCUACCCAACCUCUUGAGGAUUUCAUGAUUUUACGAUCUUUAAGAUCACUUCCAACCCAAUCGUGGCAGGAUCCUUAAAGUCCCUUCAACCCAACCACUGGUUGGGAACUAUUGGUCCCCAACGGGAAACCCCAUUUGGGAGCACUCUAUGGGAUUCCUGUCUAUGGGGCUCUGCCCAUCCACAAGACGGAGGAGUAAUUGACAAAUAAUUAUGCAAAGCACUGUUUUCCCAAAAUCUGAGUUAUUUGAGUCAUUCAGCUGCCGCCAAGCGCUCACUUUUCAUCAUAUUUUGUUAUGGGAUGACUAAGCAGAGGGGUGGGGAUGGAAAUGUGACUAAUUACCAUAAUGAGCUACGUGUGUUUGUGCGCCACAUUACAGCUGUGAUGGACCCACGUGCGAUAGAACAGAAAGUGGGAAAAUGGUUCUAAAUCCGCCGCACCGCUCCUGAAUGAAGACCAAAUCCCUCCCUUGGAAUUGUAUAUUUUCAUCCUUUCUGGUAAUUUCAGACUGAUUUUCAGCUUUGCGAGCAAGGAAAAGCACAAAGCUCUGAUGGAUGAGGAUUUUUUGCUGCGUUUUUUUGGGGGAAAAAAUGAGCAAUUUUGGUGUGUAUCAGAAAUUUCACGGAAACUCGAGUUCCCCAAAGUAUUUACUUACAACAAGGACCUACAUUCCCCAACGUUUUCCCUAAAAUAAGGACUUUUCCCCCAGACCUUUUUGCCACAAACAAGGACAUUUCACCCAACUUCUUGCUCAAAACAAGAACUUUUCCCCCCUCAUUUUGCACAGAAUAAGAGCUUUGUUUUUCCCACAACCUUUUUUCAAAACCAUGACUUUUCCCCCAACUUUUCACUGAAAAGAGCCACUUUCCCCCCAAUAUUCUCACGUCUCCCCGAAUAUCUCAAAUUUUCCUCUAAUUUUUCUCAAUUUUCUUUGAGUAUCUCGUAUUUUCACCUAUUUUUCUCACUUCCACCUGAAUUUUUGCCUCUAAUCUUUCUCACUCCCACCUCCAUAUUUCACUUUUUCGCCCUAAUUUUUCUCACUUCUUCCUGAAUAUCUCUAAUUUUCUGAUACUGUUCUCACUUCCACUUCAAUAUUUCAAUUCGCCUCUUAAUUUUUCUCUCUUCCACCUCAAUACUUCACAUUUUUUCUCAGUUUUUAACUCGCUUCCACCUGAAUACCUCAAUUUUCCUCAUUUUUUUUUCCUGAAAUUUCUCUGAAUAUCUCCAAUUUUCCACUCUUUUUCUCACUUUCACCUCAUUGAGACAAACAUCUCAUUUUCUCCUCUUUUUUCACUCCCUCAUAAGCGUCCAGUUAUCGCUCUAUUUUUCUCACUUCCACUUCAAUAUUUCACUUUUUCUCUCUACUUUUUUCUCACUUCCUCCCGAAUCUCUCUUAUUUUCCAAUAUUUUUCCCACUUCCACCUGAAUAUCUCCAUUUUUUCCUCUGAUUUUUCUCAACUUUCUCUGCAGAUCUUCAAUUUCCCUCCAACUUUCCUCGCUCCCACCUCAACGUUCCGCACCUCCCCUUAACUUCCCACGCUCCCACCCCAACUCUUCCCACUCCCCCUCAUCUCCUCACUUGCACAGCCACGGGUUGGGGGUUACCUGUAGACGAGGAUCUCGUCGGAGGAGCUGUUGUACUGAAUCUGGAACAUGCGGAUCCCGGGGAGGUGCUGCUGCGACGGCCACUGGAUGAGCGCGGAGGACGACGUCAGCUCCCCCACCACCACCGCCGCCUUCUCCUGGGGCCCUUUUGUCUCGUUGGGAAAGCUCGAUUUGGCCGAGAUGAGGAUGUCGGACGGGCCGUUCUCCGCCUCCUUCUCACAGUUGGUGCUGUUGGCCAAGUUGGGGUACGGCGUCACCACCAACUCCACCGGCGCCGUCGAUUCCCCGGCCGCGUUGGACGCGAUGCAGGUGAACGUUCCCUUAUCACCCAAAGAAGUCCCCACCAGAUCCAACGUCCCGUUUUCGUACGACGUCGUCCUGGAGGUGUUGGAGACCAGCUUCCCGUCGGGGGCGAUCCAUCGGACGUAGGGGUCGGGGUCGCCCACCGCUUUGCACUUCAAGGAGACGCUCUGCCCCUCGCUCACAGCCACCUUCGGGGUGCGGUGCGUGAUCAUGGGGGGCUCGCACACAAAUUCCUCCUCUUUGAUGGACCAGAAGUAUUUCCCCAUCAAUUCCGGCGGCGAAGCGCACGUCUCCAAAUCGUCCUCCCUGGUGAGACGCCUCAACCAGACCAACUCGCAGUUACAGUGCAGAGGGUUCCCCCCAAAACUCAGCACCAGCGACGUCAGCGGGGACCCUUUGGAUUUGGCAUAGACGGGAAUCCUGGAAAAGAGUGGAUCCGGAGGGAUCUUCUUCAGCUUGUUGGAGGUCAUGUCCAAGCGGGCCAACUUGUGCAGGUUGGAGAAGAUCCCCUCCGGGACGAACUCGAUGAGGUUGUGGUCCAAGCUGACCGUGUUGACGUUGGAGAGCUUGGCCACCGUUUCCCAAGGAACGUUGACCAGAUUGUUGUAGGACAGAUCCAGGUCCUCGAUGGUCUCGAUGAAGUCGUCCAGCGAUCUCGGGGAGAUGUAGCUCAGCUGGUUGUUGCUCAGGAUCAAAUGGCGGAGGUUAAUCAACCCUUUGAAAUGGUCCUCGUUGAUGUAGGUCAGCCGGUUGCUGUCCAGGUGCAACGCGUGGAGGCCCUUAAGAUCGAAGAAGGCGUAAGGCAUGAUCUGACUGAUGGUGUUCCUCGACAGGGUCAGGUGGAUGAGGUUGGUCAUGUUGGCAAAAUCCUUCCGCCGC